AUGAAUCCCAUGGCCAAAUGCUGCCUACUGCUCCUCCCCAUCUUCUUCUUGGCAUUUCUCUUGCCCGAGGCGCACGCGACUUCGUGCCACCCCGACGACCUUCGUGCGCUGCAAGACUUUGUUAGGAACCUCAGCGGCGGGGGUGUCCUCCUCCAGGCCACGUGGUUCGGCGCCGCAUGCUGCAGCUGGGAAGGUGUGAGCUGUGAUGCCGCCAGUGGCCGUGUCACGGCACUGCACCUCCCCAGGCGCGGCCUUGUGGGGCCCAUCCCAGGAACCUCCCUUGCAGGCCUUGCACGGCUCGAGGAGCUCGACCUUGGCUCCAACAACUUUCAAAACAUCUCAGGGGUACUCACCGUGUUGCGUGGGUGCCAGAACCUCACCACGCUGAUUCUCACCAAGAAUUUCGGUGGUGAGGAGCUACUAGGCGAUGGUAUUAUUGGCGGGUUCAAGAGCCUCGAGGUGCUGGCCCUUGGUGAUUGUGCUCUCAAGGGCAGGGUUCCGGAAUGGUUGUCUCAAUGCAAGAAAAUGGAGGUGCUUGAUUUGUCCGGCAACCAAUUGGUGGGCACCAUCCCAUCGUGGAUUGGUGAGCUUCACCACCUUUGCUACUUGGAUCUCUCAAACAAUUCAUUGGUUGGCGAUGCACCUAAGAGUUUGGCACUGCUAAAGGGGCUCGCCCCUGAUGGGCAUUCAUCGGGCAUGGUUUUCACUAACAUUCCAUCGUAUGUGAAGCAUAACAGAAGCACACUCGGACGACGACUUAACGAGCUCCCAAAUGUCAUCACAGGGACCAACAACUUUGUAACAUCGGGGAGCAACAAUGUUUUAUCCGGGAAUGACAACACAGUCAUAUUUGGGGAUGAAAACACCGUAUCAGGGAACAACCAUGCUAUAUAUGGGGAUGAAAACACGGUAUCUGGGAACAACCAUGUCGUAUCUGGGAGUAAGCAUGUUGUAUCCGGGAGUAGGCAUGGCGUAACUGGGAGAAGUAGUGUGGUAUCUGGGUUCAACAAUGGCGUAUCUGGGAUCAACCAUGUUGUAUCGGGGAGUAACAAUGUUGUAUCCGGGAGCAACAAUGUUGUAUCUGGGAUGAACCAUAUUGUAUCUGGAAACAACAAAGUAAUAACAUGA
This 1128-nucleotide ribosomal RNA is filed under the name Triticum aestivum (bread wheat). Its description in RNAcentral is "partial small subunit ribosomal RNA". Lineage: Eukaryota; Viridiplantae; Streptophyta; Magnoliopsida; Poales; Poaceae. The record is from RNAcentral.